GACAGAGGUGCCGAGCGUUAGGCGGAAUCACUGGGCUUAAAGCGUGUGUAGGCGGACUUCUAAGUACCUUGUGAAAUCCCACGGCUCAACCGUGGAACUGCUUGGUAUACUGGUUGUCUUGAGCCACUUAGGGGCAGUCGGAACAGACGGUGGAGCGGUGAAAUGCGUAGAUAUCGGAAAGAACACCAACGGCGAAAGCACUCUGCUGGGCCGACACUGACACUGAGAGACGAAAGCUAGGGGAGCAAAUGGG
Molecule: ribosomal RNA, 253 nt
Filed under: uncultured bacterium
Lineage: Bacteria
Description: partial 16S ribosomal RNA
Rfam family: Bacterial small subunit ribosomal RNA
Source: RNAcentral